RNAcentral lists this ribosomal RNA (571 nucleotides) under uncultured bacterium. Its description in RNAcentral is "partial 16S ribosomal RNA". It matches the Rfam family "Bacterial small subunit ribosomal RNA", at positions 355 to 914 of the family's 1533-position model. The record is from RNAcentral.
UGGGGAAUAUUGCACAAUGGGCGCAAGCCUGAUGCAGCCAUGCCGCGUGUGUGAAGAAGGCCUUCGGGUUGUAAAGCACUUUCAGCGAGGAGGAAGGUGGUGAGCUUAAUACGCUCAUCAAUUGACGUUACUCGCAGAAGAAGCACCGGCUAACUCCGUGCCAGCAGCCGCGGUAAUACGGAGGGUGCAAGCGUUAAUCGGAAUUACUGGGCGUAAAGCGCACGCAGGCGGUUUGUUAAGUCAGAUGUGAAAUCCCCGGGCUCAACCUGGGAACUGCAUUUGAAACUGGCAAGCUAGAGUCUCGUAGAGGGGGGUAGAAUUCCAGGUGUAGCGGUGAAAUGCGUAGAGAUCUGGAGGAAUACCGGUGGCGAAGGCGGCCCCCCUGGACGAAGACUGACGCUCAGGUGCGAAAGCGUGGGGCAGCAAACAGGAUUAGAUACCCUGGUAGUCCAGCGCUGUAAACGAUGUCGAUUUGGAGGUUGUGCCCUUGAGGCGUGGCUUCCGGAGCUAACGCGUUAAAUCGACCGCCUGGGGGAGUACGGCCGCAAGGUUAAAACUUAAAUGAAUUGAC